GUAAAAACAUGUCUAUGGGAAAAUCACAUCCAAACAUGGAGGGCCUUUCAGUCAGCCGCUUGUUACCGAACGAGCAGACACUUGAAGCAGUCCCUGUCGUCGCUGCCAGGCCAUUUGCCCAGUGGUAGGAAUGGCUACCAACAACCAUCCAGCCUUGGAAACAUUUUGUUCCCGGGAAGCUGCAAAACCUGCCAAAGAAGAUGGGUACUGGGGCAAGUUUCCCCAGGAUUGAUGCCAACCAAAAGUGAAGCUCCUGUGUUUGAUCUGAACCCAACCACAGUCUCUUGCUGAGGUUAGAAGCACCCAAAAUUCAGCCCAUGCUGGCCCAAAGAGUUUACAAAUCUCAGGGGCCUUGAGGCAAGCCAGGAGGAAAUUCUGAUGUUUGGUGAAUGCCUGUGCUAUGGAGGAACCUUCUGGCUGAUUUUUAGAGAGAAUAAAAGCAACGAGGUGCUCUGAAGAAAGGAGCAGUAAAUGCUGUGUAGCAGGUUUUUAGGUGACUGCAUUAAAACCAGGAUUCAGUAGCCUGUAAAGAUACCAAAGGCAGUGAUGUGAUGUCAGUCCCUCCAGCUCACCUUUCUCCUGGGGGUCUGUGCAGCUCCCUCUGGUCCCUCAGCUGCUGGAGGUCAUCUUGGAGUCUACAAACUCCCAACACCACCACUCACUCUAUAAAUCUACCACAGAUAACAGAGAGAGCCCAAAACCAACUUAGAGAUUUAGAUGAAACUGACUGAACCUGGAGUCCCAGUGAGACAAGCAAAGUUGAAAGCUGGUAAGUGCACUGAGACAUAUCACAGUGGGCAGGGAAAUGUCCAUAUGUGGGAGUACCAGCAACAUGGGCAGCACCACAGCAGACCCAACAUGCCAAAAAUUGCUAUCAUAUGCCAGUCACAGGUUUAAUUAAAACACAGCUCCAUAGAGAUAUUCACAAUCAGUAAGGUUCCCUGCAGCAGAUAAGUAGUGUUUUGGAGUUUCCUCUGCAAGAGUACUUGAUGUGGGGAUGCUUGCUGUGUGGGGAAUUACCCUGACUUCAGUCUUGCAGCAACAUGAUGGUAGACUGAAACAGCUUCCCUCUUGUGGAAGAAUUCCUGCUUUCUUGGAUCGCUUGAGGCAAUAAAUAGUGACUUUGAACAUUACACCUUUAAGAUUGCUAAAUAUGUGGGAAAAUUACAAAUAUACAGUUUUUAUCCUAUGCAAGUCCUCCAAGGCUGUAUGUCAUGCAUUUACUGAAUAACAAGGGGGAGAAUACUCACUUGCUAUGGCCCCUUGCUGUGUGCAAAAAGUUAUGUCACAUGGUUCUGUGGGCACGGUGGGGAUGGGUUGAUGGUUGGACUAGAUGGUCUAAGUAGUCUUUUCCAACUCAUAUGAUUCUAUUCUAUCAUUCUGUGACACUAUUUGUGCAGACAUGGAUUCACACAAAUGUCGCUGAAAUAGAAACUCUCCAGCUAGGAACCUGAAGGGAGUCAGUAACCAGCAAGUCACCCAAGCCACACAGCAGUGAGUUUGCUGCAUGAGACAUGCCUACUCAGAGCUUAAAGGCAGAUAUUUGGAUGUUAGGAAAUUUAAACCUGGAUAGGAAGGGGGUUUUUUGCUAUAUGACAAAUGUGCUGAUAAAUGUGUGAUAAGUUACUGAAACUCCUCAGUCGUGACAGCAAGUUCAAUAUCCCAGACAGAAACAAGGAUUUAUCAGUCAGGAAAACCAAUAGCUCAUCCUUUCCAUCACUUCUGAAUGAUCUAUACUUGGACUGCUUCCUGCUCUGCUGACUUGUCCCAUCCCUGAAGGUGGCUGCAAGUGCAGCUGUUCAAACAGUGUGCAGCAACCCUAAACCAUGCAAGGAAUGGGAGAGAAUUCGUUUUAUUACUCUCAUAUUCCUGCAAAGGAAUUCUAGAAAGUUGAAAUUACUUUGCAUCCCUGCAAUAUUGUCUCUCUUCUGACAGAAAAUAUGCUAAGGUAUCUUCAGUGCCCAAGUAUAUUUGUUUGUUUUAUGAUGACAGAAGCAAGGCCCACAAUUGCAAGCUUCAUAGAAAGAGCAAUAUUUACUGGUCAGCUUGUUUUCUUUAUGAAUUGAGAAGUGUUUUGAAUGAGAUGGCAUAAGGUAAUGGGAGGUUUGAAAAAAAAUAUAUCUUGAAAUCUACCCUAUUAACAAAUUAACAAAUGCAGAGAAGGGGGAAAGAAUUUCUGUGGACAUCUUGAAAAAAUUCCUUUAGUUGAAUGCCAUUUAUGGCUCUUCUAUCCACAUACGACUUGAUUUCCUUUCCUACAACAUUUUUUUUUUAGUCCCUAAAGAAGAAGAAUUCUCAUUCCAGUAGGAUUAUUUUCAAGAAAACAUUCCCAGUUUGAAGAUACCUUAGCAGUAUUUAACUACUAAAGGAAAUUGUUCUUCUGGUCGUGUUAAAGAGCCAGAACUGUCUUGGGAGGUACACUACAAAGGGGGUCUGGAUAAUAGAUAACACAUCUAGAUCACACUGGAAAGAUUUGCAAUCAGUUUAGUUGAGACUAUAGCCUUUGCUAGUGUAGGCACAAGACACAAUUAUAAGCCCUAUUGAAAUAUUCAGAUCUUUAAAAUGCUGGAUUAGUAAAGUCAGCAACCCGAGCACAUAUUAGAAAUAUGAUUUUCAGACCUUUACGUGCCAGGAGUUGUUUUUUACUAACCAGGUCCAUUGGACCUCAUGUGUGCUUCAAGCCCUGCCUUCAGAAGAGCAGCCAGAUGUACAACAGAGAGAAGUCCUGGCUGACCACACUGCACACUCCUUUGCCUUUGACUGUUCCUCCCAUAGCUCCCACCUCCCUGUCUGUUUGGUCUCUCAUUCACUUACUUUCACUAAGUACUCCCAAUGUAGUUUGAGGCCUGUGGACAGUACUCUAUUACAUGUGUAUAUAUAUAUAUAACAUUUUCAGAGGAAUAACAAUUCAUUUGCAAGCGGGAAUGACCUGUUUUUCCUCUUUGAGCUCCCUACAACAAGAGCUGCUAACGAGUCCACUGGGAACUAACUGAUCUUGCCUUUCUCUUUCUCUCUCCCCUUGACCUUCCUGGGGCUCCAUAAUUUCUAGGGGUGAGGUUCCUAGUCAUGCUGAACCUUACUUUCUGAGACAUACAAUUCUGCAUAUUCUUUCUCUGCUGCUUUGAAACUUGUAGCAGAAAAACAUGUCCUAGCAGGUCUAAUAAUCCAAAUUAAUUCCUCUUAAUUCCUCUAGUUCUUUAGGUCAUCUACGUUGGUCCAUCAGGAAACUGUGGAACACAAACCAAACAUGGUUUAGUGGGGAAGACCAGAUCGAACAAAUAUCUUUCCUGUUAGGACACUCAUGGCAUCAUUUAUCACCUGCAGUGAGCCCACCUCAGCUUCCCAGCUCUGUGCAAUGUGUGCUGUUCUUCCUGUCUGCAGAAUGCCUAAGUUGAGAAUAACUCAGGCACGGCCACAGGGACAGCUGGAAAACUCUUGAAAGGAAGCAUAAGUUUUUCAGUUCUUUCUGUGCAAUUUGUUCAGCUUCGGAAAGGAGAGCAACAUGCAGUGGCAAGUCUAACUGUGAAUGGUUUUAGGGAGGGUGAAUCUGUGGGUGUAGCUGUCAUCCAGUGUACCCGAGUUCACAGCACAGAAGGAAAGAAGGAAAAAAAGAAAGAGAAUGAAAGAAGGAAUGAGAAAGUAAGAGAGGGGAUCUUCUAUAAGUUGUUUAUUAUUUAUGACUUUCCACACAGCCUAACUGUCCUCUCUGAAUCAAAAUAUGAGAUUUAACAUUAAAAAAUGUACUUUAACAUGGCAAAUACCAUAAUGGUGGAAAUACAAUCACAGCUGUCAGUAAAGUGAAAUGGCUCAAGGGCAGGCAGCCCUGCUCUGCAGACAAACACCAAGCAACACUCCAUCCGAAAUGCUAAUAGACCGUACAAAGUCUUAUGAAUAUCUCUGGAUAACUUCUGCUCUCAGAGAGUUCAAACCACAUCUGACCUCUGCUGGCCACUUUUUUUCUAGUCUCUCCAUUUGCAGAAAACCCACUCCAGCUCCCCAGCUGUGUCUGAGUGUGGCAGAUAUUUUGCUGGUGACUAUUUUGGUUCUCUUUCAGUAGAGGAAUUAUACCAAGAUUUUAAGCAACUGAAGAAUAUGACCAAGUUUUCCAACUGUUUUGCAAGCCCUGAGCAGACACCAACACUUUAGAAGGUAACAUCUGGCAGAGUGAGGUUUAUGACCAGUGUCCCAACAGAUCCCCAGGCAGUGUGGCCUCAUUUCACUCCUCUGCCUGGGAACACCUCAGGUGAGGUUUCCCACGACCAACACACCUUACUGCCACCCAGCCACCGGGGCAGCUACGACUGCACUGACAGAAGAAAUCCACGCUUUGCUUAUGGUAUACCUUGUGGCCAGAUUAUUAUUAACAGAGAUUUUCACGUCCAUACUGUUUAAUUAUGUUUGUUUAAACCAGAAUUGACAUUACCUGGUUGUUUUAAACUUACAGUGAGUGCAGAGUAUCCACAAGGCAUCGUGCCAUCAGUGAGGGAUGACUUUUCCUUUUCGACUGCAAAACUGAGUCAGAAACACGCAUGACAGGUAGCUUAUUGGUUCAGUACAUCACUGAAAGGCAUCCACAUCCCGCAGCAAUGGGUGUGUUAUGGGGACAGCACAAAUAAACCACGGCAAAAUGCAUAUUGCAGAGGUACGGGUUCCCACGGGCACCCUAAUGUUGUGCUCAGCCCUCACCAAGAGCCCAUGUCCAGGUAAGCCAUCCCUCCCACUGAGAGCUGUGGGGUGUCCACCCCACUCCUUGGGAAUAAUAACCAUAUGGUUUGGGGUAAACAUCUGACAGCUACAUCAUCGUUGAUCACAGUCUCUCAAAGUCAUUUCAGACAUCAUUGUUAGCAUUUCUCAGAAUGCCCAAGCCCUGUUUAAUGGCAGAGUUUGUGAGCUCUUGGGCUGUAAUAUAAAGCGUUUUGUGCAGAGUAAUCAGCAGCUUCACAUCGACUUCAAUGUACUUUCCUCUUUCAUGCAUCUAUAUGUAUUACAGGUGGUUUCACACUGUAAUUCUUGGCUAGCCACAAACGCCUGUAGACAUUUAGAUGCCUGUCCCCUGUUAAAAAGGCCACAACACUGAUUUCUCAGUGUUAUGGCAUCAAUGCAACCUCCUAUUUGCAUGGAAAGAAUCACUGACACAAAAUACCAGCACAUGACAAAUCCUAAAAUCUUUUCCUGAGCACAAGCUCAUCAAAAUCAACAAGAGCAAAGAUGUAAGGAUCACUCACAUAAAUGUUUCAGGUCUGUUCUUUCAAUCUACAUCUCUUAAAACAAAGAAAACCUUUUAAAAAUGUGUCAGAUCAGUUUGCUUUGUGUCUUUUCUUGCCAGCAUGAAGAAUGCCUUGAUGGUUGCACAAUCACGGUCCUUCAAAGAGUAGCUGUGAUUUUGCUUAAAAAAAAAAAAUCAUAAUGCUGGCUUAGACAUGUAGACUACACUUACCUUUGGGAUGAAUGAGAUACUUUCUGCCUAUCAAGCUGAAAUCCUUGCCAUAGUUCUCAGAUUUUAAU
This is a long non-coding RNA of Lagopus muta (rock ptarmigan), 5505 nucleotides long. RefSeq lists it as uncharacterized. The transcript has 6 exons. The record is from RefSeq and is a predicted model, not a curated record. NCBI's taxonomy places the organism in Eukaryota, Metazoa, Chordata, Aves, Galliformes, Phasianidae.